RNAcentral lists this ribosomal RNA (462 nucleotides) under uncultured bacterium. Its description in RNAcentral is "partial 16S ribosomal RNA". It matches the Rfam family "Bacterial small subunit ribosomal RNA", at positions 338 to 795 of the family's 1533-position model. The record is from RNAcentral.
CCUACGGGUGGCAGCAGUGAGGAAUAUUGGUCAAUGGCCGGAAGGCUGAACCAGCCAUGCCGCGUGAAGGUCAGUGCCCUUUGGGCGUUAAACUUCUUUUGUGCGGGAGCAAUACAGGUAUCCACGUGUGGAUAUUUGCAUGUACCCUAUGAAUAAGCAUCGGCUAACUCCGUGCCAGCAGCCGCGGUAAUACGGAGGAUGCGAGCGUUAUACGGAUUUAUUGGGUUUAAAGGGUGCGUAGGUUGUUAUUUAAGUCAGCGGUGAAAUGUUGUGGCUCAACCAAAAAAUUGCCGUUGAAACUGGGAGACUUGAGUGUUGUAGAGGUAGGCGGAAUGCGUGGUGUAGCGGUGAAAUGCAUAGAGAUCACGAAGAACACCGAUUGCGAAGGCAGCUUACUAAGCCAUAACUGACGCUGAAGCACGAAAGCGUGGGGAGCAAACAGGAUUAGAUACCCUUGUAGUC